Magallana angulata is the source of this 2663-nucleotide long non-coding RNA. RefSeq lists it as uncharacterized. NCBI's taxonomy places the organism in Eukaryota, Metazoa, Mollusca, Bivalvia, Ostreida, Ostreidae. The record is from RefSeq and is a predicted model, not a curated record. The transcript is spliced from 5 exons.
CAGUCAGAAAUUGACAUUUUUCCUACCUUUUAACAAAUGGGAAAUAUAGAGCGCAUGCUUGAACAAGGAAAAUUUUUUUGUCAGUUAUUAGUCUUGGCUAGUUACAUCUCUGAUUAAAAUAUUUUGUUUGUUCAAGCAUGCGCUCUAUGUUUUCUGAAAGAAAAACUUCUUGAAAACAAGCUGUUUUAUGUUAAAAACGUAAAAAUGGCGGGAAAAGUCUGUCUUCAUGAUACCAUAUUUCUAAAUUGUGGGCACUUGAAUCAAAAUGAACAUAAUGUUAAAACAUCACAUAUAUAUCUGUACAAAGAAAAAACAAAGAAUUACAGUAAAAUGAUGAUGUUCAUUUUAGGGGGCCAUUUUAGGCCCUUAUCAUAUAUAGUCCUUUGUACAUUUUACGUCAUUUCAAAGGUCAAAUGACCGUUUUUAUCUGCAAUGAAGAGUAAAAAAUUAAAUUAUAAGCAAUGAAUUCAGUAUAUUUAUUAGUUUUAUACGAUAAAAAAUGGUUUGAAACAGUUUACGGUUUUUUAUAAACCGCUUCGCGUCAGAAUAAGCAUCGUAAAGAAAAGCUAUGAGUAAUGUAUCAACUCCUUCGGCGCAUUCCAAGAGGCAGAUAUACCAUUUAAGUACAUCACUGGCUAUCUAGUUACCACAACGUUUACAAAAGCCGCUUAUACAUACUAUACUUUGUCGACAAAUCAACUAUUUUCGUCCACGAUCACUCCCCUGGGAUGGUUAUGUCCAGUUGCAUAUUCCAGCGAUCUCACAUGAACAGUGAAUAAUAUCACAAGCUAUCGCAUGUAUUUUCUUUCGUUUUCAAUUCAGCCGGUUCAGAUUUUAACUCACUAUUUGUGUUUAAUCCAUUAAAUUCAGCUCAAUAGCUCUGCAUCAGCUGAAGGCGCAUCCAUUUUGAAUGUUGUUGUUUUGUAUUCAUACGCGCCGCUUCAUUUACAUUAUUUACAUUUUUGAUCAAUGAAACUUCACAUUUUUCGAUUUGAAAAUAUUUUAUUUAAUGAUAAGAAAUGAAGAUAAUAUUUUUUCUAUCCAUCGACGUAUAAAAAAAAAGUUGACUGGAAAACUUUUGAUGAAGUUUUCCUAUUUUAUACUAUUUUAGAAAAAAAUGACCGGAAAGCUACGCGCAUUGAUGAAGUUUUCCGGUAAAUUUUUUCUUUGAUACUUCGAUUAAUAGAAAAAUUAUUAUGUUCAUUUCUUAAAUCUAUAUUACUAAUUUGAAAACGUGACGUCAACGGUUUGUUAAAAAAUAUGUUCUUUCUUUCGCGUAUGUCUUCAAAUAAUGAUAUUUAUUUCCACUUUAAGUGACACCUAUCCCAGUAUGUAUAUGUAAAUUAAGAGUUACAAAAAUGAUAAAUAACCUAUGAAUAAUCAAUUUUAUGCGUGUUCUGGUGAAAGAGAACCAUCUACAACAAAACAGCAACCAACAACCACAACAUCACCAUCAACGACGGCAUCGCAAUUAUCAGCAAAAUCUCCUACAACAACAAGUUCAACGACAAAAACAGAUACAGCAGCCAUAAAUCCAUGUAUGAAUUCUACAUAUCUAUCCUCGAUUUUAUCGCAAUCAAGCUGUAUUGCCGACUCAAAUAAAUUAGCAGAGGUCAAAAAUGCAUUAGAUGAGGUCAAAUGCAAAUAUAUUUCUUCGAUCGUUGCCUGUGUCUUGGAAGGAGUACGAUCAGAUAUUGGUAUCACAUGUUCCGACAAACAGAAAAUAGUUGCCCUAUACGAGAUCGAGGAAUUAGCUCUAUCCUAUCUCAGUAUUGAUCCAAGAACAUGUGAUAUGUCGGCCAACAUCUCGACGACCCCAAAAACAUCUGCAAGGACAACAUUGUCAGGAGCAAACACAUUAACAACAAAAACAACUUCACCGAUGACAACAACAAUGACAACAACAAUGGUGACAACGAUGAUAAAAUCAACAACACCGGUGACAACAACCAUAAACCCAUGUACAAACUCUACCUAUCUUUCCUCAACAUUGCUCUCCCAUUGCCUCGACUACACAAUUAGCAGCAGUCAUAUCUGCUUCGGAUGAGGUUAAAUGCAGCUUCAUUUUAUCUGCUGUUGAUUGUGUCUUGGAGACAAUACGAUUGGAUUUUGGGAUCACCUGUACUGCCGAACAUAGAGUAGCCGCUCUGGAUGAGUUCUCGGGAAUAGUUCAAACCUAUCUCGGAGUCGACCCUAAAACCUGUUAGCUGGUCCUACAGACUGUUGAUAUUAUAGGGCGAGAGAUGAUAUUAUAUGGCGAAAGUAUGUGCAUGCAGAAUCAGUUUACUAUUGACUAUUCUUGUAUAGUUAAGAAAGUUACCUACUUACCAACUUACCUACCUAUGCACAUGCGUAUUAAUGCCGGAAUCUCCCAGCCCUCGACAGAAAUUGCAAGAUCUUGAAUAAGCCUACGUGUUUCAUUUUUCUGGAAUGGUAACCAAAAAAAAAAAACCCUCAGUGAAAAUUGAUGUGUAAUUUUAACAUUUUCAGAAAAAAAUGUUCUUAUAAUUAUGUGCUAUGUAACGAACUGAAUGCAAACUGUUUAUUGAUGAAUCAAAGGCUCGUUGUCAAAAGGAUAAAGCGAGAGCCGAAUUGUUGCAGAAUGCUACAAGCAUAAUGUUUAUUAUUAUGCUUAUUUAUGAUAAUAAAAUAAUUUCUGUUGA